Molecule: ribosomal RNA, 478 nt
Filed under: uncultured bacterium
Lineage: Bacteria
Description: bacterial SSU rRNA
Rfam family: Bacterial small subunit ribosomal RNA
Source: RNAcentral
AUUGAACGCUGGCGGCAUGCCUUACACAUGCAAGUCGAACGGCAGCACGGACUUCGGUCUGGUGGCGAGUGGCGAACGGGUGAGUAAUGUAUCGGAACGUACCUUUCAGUGGGGGAUAACGUAGCGAAAGUUACGCUAAUACCGCAUAUUCUGUGAGCAGGAAAGCAGGGGAUCGCAAGACCUUGCGCUGAUUGAGCGGCCGAUAUCAGAUUAGCUAGUUGGUGGGGUAAAGGCCUACCAAGGCUACGAUCUGUAGCGGGUCUGAGAGGAUGAUCCGCCACACUGGAACUGAGACACGGUCCAGACUCCUACGGGAGGCAGCAGUGGGGAAUAUUGGACAAUGGGCGCAAGCCUGAUCCAGCCAUGCCGCGUGUGUGAUGAAGGCCUUAGGGUUGUAAAGCACUUUCACCGAUGAAGAAUAAUAGACGGUAAGUCGGGAGAAGAAGCCCCGGCCUAACUUCGUGCCAGCAGCCGCGGU